Molecule: long non-coding RNA, 1332 nt
Organism: Ostrea edulis (European flat oyster)
Lineage: Eukaryota; Metazoa; Mollusca; Bivalvia; Ostreida; Ostreidae
Exons: 3
Source: RefSeq, a predicted model, not a curated record
UUUUCCUGUCUUGAACAAGAUUUACAUGACCUUCUAGAGAGAGCGUCCACAUUGUUGUGUUACGUCCUGGUCUAUGAAUAAUUGUUAAAUUCUAUGUCCCUAAUUCUUCCAACCAUCUUGCUGUUUGUCCAGUUGGAUUCUUUAAAGGGACUGAUUCACGUUUUUCUAAAGAAAUGGGUUUUUUUUUUUCAUUUUUCAUGUUAAAAAUCAAAAAUAUUGCUCAUUUAAAUGUUGACAACCAAAAUUUGGACCGUUUGAAUGUAAGAAUAAGAGCAAUAUUUUAGCUUUGAUUCUGUGUAAUGUAAACAAAGACUCGAGUCUUUUUAUGUAUACAAACAAACCAGUGAAAUGUUAAUUUUGUAAUUUAAAGCAUCUUCAUUUUGUACAAUCACAAAUUCUAACUUUUAAAUGACACCUUUUAACUAAAGUAUACUUGAGAUGUGUAAUAUAUAGUAAACUUGGAUUAACAUUCAUUUACUUUUGAAACCCUGUAACACGCCUCAAUCUAUGUUUUCAAAACAAAUAAUAAAAUCUCUAUAACGAGCUUCUGUCAUGAUGAAUAACCUUUGUGAAACUUUCUAAACAUAUUAGACUAGAUUUUGAUCAUUUAAAGUGAAACACAAAAUUUGUAGGAUUGAUCGAUUGAUUGAUGUUUUUCGCCACACUCAACAAUUUUUCAGUUAUCUGGUGGAGCCCAGUUUUUAUUGGUGGAAGAGAGAACUCAGAUACAAUGUACCUGAGUCCAGGGAAGAGACCACCGACCUUCCUCAUUGAUUUUGAGAGCGAUGCUCUAACCACUAGGACAUGAAGGCCCAAUUUGGAGACAUACCAACAUACCAGAAUCCAGAAUUUAAAUCCAUUGAGCUAUACCAUUUCGACCCAGCAAGUGCGUCUAAAUAUGUAUCUACCGUCGGCAAUGGAUAUGCAGUCUUAACAGGCACUAGUUGGGUAUAAUCAGAAAAGUAUGAUUUCCCCUCAACAUACACGAACUAUGUAAGAAGUUCUGCUGAUAGUAUUUCUCUCGGAACCAAAUGUCCAGAAGGAGGAGGUAGAAUGUCUCUUGUCUUGGUCAACAGCCGACUUUCUUUUCCAUAGUAUGGUUCGGGUUUUAAGAGUACAUAAAGACUUGGUUGAGUAGGAUGUCACAGUGCAUGAUGUCUGAGAAUCGAUGAUCUCCUCGCUGCCGAUAAGCGUGUCCAAUUUCAUGGUCCUCGUAAAUGUCAUAUCUCGUCACCGAUGUCCCUUCCCUCUACGAUAAUUGUGUCCCCUUGCCCCAUUUCACUAUUACGAUUAACCCUAUCUCUUUUAUCAUUAACAAUUACUUCAGGGUCA